RNAcentral lists this ribosomal RNA (519 nucleotides) under uncultured bacterium. RNAcentral's name for it is "partial 16S ribosomal RNA". It matches the Rfam family "Bacterial small subunit ribosomal RNA", at positions 355 to 861 of the family's 1533-position model. The record is from RNAcentral.
UGGGGAAUAUUGCACAAUGGGCGCAAGCCUGAUGCAGCCAUGCCGCGUGUGUGAAGAAGGCCUUCGGGUUGUAAAGCACUUUCAGCGAGGAGGAAGGUGGUGAGCUUAAUACGCUCAUCAAUUGACGUUACUCGCAGAAGAAGCACCGGCUAACUCCGUGCCAGCAGCCGCGGUAAUACGGAGGGUGCAAGCGUUAAUCGGAAUUACUGGGCGUAAAGCGCACGCAGGCGGUUUGUUAAGUCAGAUGUGAAAUCCCCGGGCUCAACCUGGGAACUGCAUUUGAAACUGGCAAGCUAGAGUCUCGUAGAGGGGGGUAGAAUUCCAGGUGUAGCGGUGAAAUGCGUAGAGAUCUGGAGGAAUACCGGUGGCGAAGGCGGCCCCCCUGGACGAAGACUGACGCUCAGGUGCGAAAGCGUGGGGCAGCAAACAGGAUUAGAUACCCUGGUAGUCCAGCGCUGUAAAACGAUGUCGAUUUGGAGGUUGUGCCCCUUGAGGCGUGGCUUCCGGAGCUAACGCGUU